Molecule: ribosomal RNA, 497 nt
Filed under: uncultured bacterium
Lineage: Bacteria
Description: partial 16S ribosomal RNA
Rfam family: Bacterial small subunit ribosomal RNA
Source: RNAcentral
GAUGAACGCUGGCGGCGUGCCUAAUACAUGCAAGUCGAGCGAACGGACGAGAAGCUUGCUUCUCUGAUGUUAGCGGCGGACGGGUGAGUAACACGUGGAUAACCUACCUAUAAGACUGGGAUAACUUCGGGAAACCGGAGCUAAUACCGGAUAAUAUUUUGAACCGCAUGGUUCAAAAGUGAAAGACGGUCUUGCUGUCACUUAUAGAUUGAUCCGCGCUUCAUUAGCUAGUUGGUAAGGUAACGGCUUACCAAGGCAACGAUGCAUAGCCGACCUGAGAGGGUGAGCGGCAACAGUGGAACUGAGACACGGUCCAAACUCCUACGGGAGGCAGCAGUAGGGAAUAUUCCGCAAUGGGCGAAAGCCUGACGGAGCAACGCCGCGUGAGUGAAGAAGGUCUUCGGAUCGUAAAACUCUGUUAUUAGGGAAGAACAUAUGUGUAAGUAACUGUGAACAUCUUGACGGUACCUAAUCAGAAAGCCACGGCUAACUACGUG